This 470-nucleotide ribosomal RNA is filed under the name uncultured organism. Its description in RNAcentral is "partial 16S ribosomal RNA". It matches the Rfam family "Bacterial small subunit ribosomal RNA", at positions 334 to 796 of the family's 1533-position model. The record is from RNAcentral.
CACUCCUACGGGAGGCAGCAGUGGGGAAUUUUGGACAAUGGGCGAAAGCCUGAUCCAGCAAUGCCGCGUGAGUGAAGAAGGCCUUCGGGUUGUAAAGCUCUUUUGUCAGGGAAGAAACGGUGAAAGCUAAUAUCUUUUGCUAAUGACGGUACCUGAAGAAUAAGCACCGGCUAACUACGUGCCAGCAGCCGCGGUAAUACGUAGGGUGCAAGCGUUAAUCGGAAUUACUGGGCGUAAAGCGUGCGCAGGCGGUUUUGUAAGUCUGAUGUGAAAUCCCCGGGCUCAACCUGGGAAUUGCAUUGGAGACUGCAAGGCUAGAAUCUGGCAGAGGGGGGUAGAAUUCCACGUGUAGCAGUGAAAUGCGUAGAUAUGUGGAGGAACACCGAUGGCGAAGGCAGCCCCCUGGGUCAAGAUUGACGCUCAUGCACGAAAGCGUGGGGAGCAAACAGGAUUAGAUACCCGAGUAAUCC